GCACCGGCGGACGGCUCAGUAACACGUGGACAACCUGCCCUCGGGAGGGGGAUAACCCCGGGAAACUGGGGCUAAACCCCCAUAGGAGAUGGAUACUGGAAUGUUCCAUCUCCGAAAGUCCGCAAGGAGCCCGAGGAUGGGUCUGCGGCGGAUUAGGUAGUUGGUGGGGUAACGGCCUACCAAGCCUAAGAUCCGUACGGGCCAUGGGAGUGGGAGCCCGGAGAUGGACCCUGAGACAAGGGUCCAGGCCCUACGGGGCGCAGCAGGCGCGAAACCUCCGCAAUGCGGGAAACCGCGAUGGGGUCAGCCGGAGUGCCGAUGCUUGCAUCGGCUGUCGGGGAGCCUAAAAAGCUCCCCAUAGCAAGGGCCGGGCAAGGCCGGUGGCAGCCGCCGCGGUAAUACCGGCGGCCCGAGUGGCGGUCACUAUUAUUGGGCUUAAAGCGUCCGUAGCCGGGUUGGGAAGUCCUCCGGGAAAUCUGGCCGCUUAACGGUCAGAAUGCCGGAGGAUACUCCCAGCCUAGGGAGCGGGAGAGGCCGAGGGUAUUCCCGGAGUAGGGGUGAAAUCCUAUAAUCCCGGGAGGACCACCUGUGGCGAAGGCG
RNAcentral lists this ribosomal RNA (600 nucleotides) under uncultured archaeon. RNAcentral's name for it is "bacterial SSU rRNA". It matches the Rfam family "Archaeal small subunit ribosomal RNA", at positions 75 to 674 of the family's 1478-position model. The record is from RNAcentral.